UCUAAUGUGGCAGAUUAGUGCAAUGAAUUUAAGCUUCAUAUAUAAAGUACUUCCACUUUUAUUAGAA
This 67-nucleotide transfer RNA is filed under the name Carabus nemoralis. Its description in RNAcentral is "tRNA-Leu". The record is from RNAcentral. Lineage: Eukaryota; Metazoa; Arthropoda; Insecta; Coleoptera; Carabidae.